Molecule: ribosomal RNA, 497 nt
Filed under: uncultured bacterium
Lineage: Bacteria
Description: partial 16S ribosomal RNA
Rfam family: Bacterial small subunit ribosomal RNA
Source: RNAcentral
GAUGAACGCUGGCGGCGUGCCUAAUACAUGCCAGUCGAGCGAACAGAUGAGGAGCUUGCUCCUCUGACGUUAGCGGCGGACGGGUGAGUAACACGUGGAUAACCUACCUAUAAGACUGGGAUAACUUCGGGAAACCGGAGCUAGUACCGGAUAAUAUAUUGAACCGCAUGGUUCAAUAGUGAAAGACGGUUUUGCUGUCACUUAUAGAUGGAUCCGCGCCGCAUUAGCUAGUUGGUAAGGUAACGGCCUACCAAGGCAACGAUGCGUAGCCGACCUGAGAGGGUGAUCGGCCACACUGGAACUGAGACACGGUCCAGACUCCUACGGGAGGCAGCAGUAGGGAAUCUUCCGCAAUGGGCGAAAGCCUGACGGAGCAACGCCGCGUGAGUGAUGAAGGUCUUCGGAUCGUAAAACUCUGUUAUUAGGGAAGAACAAAUGUGUAAGUAACUAUGCACGUCUUGACGGUACCUAAUCAGAAAGCCACGGCUAACUACGUG